AUCGUCAUCAUCUAAUUACUGUGACAUGACGAGAGUCCAUCAUGACAAACAGCUGAGUGUUCAGCUCUGCAGUGACCAGAAUGUCUCACAGUUGUCUUUCCGUGAUGUCCUACACAUUUAACAAAAUGUCUACACAUCCUGAGUCCUGAAUGACACAAAGAAAUCCCACUUUGUCACACAACAUUGUCAACUUCUACAGGAGACCCUCUCAGGUGUUUGGUGCCUUACUGAUAAGAUCAGCAGUGGUCUCGGGUUCAAACAGGCUCAGUAAAAAUGCCAGCAGUCAUUGAGCCUUUGAGCUCUGUGGCCUUCUAUCUGUCUGUCUGUCCCUCCUCAUGUCCUCACUUCUCUUUCUUUAUCUCCACAGCCUGUCUUAUUGUAAUCUCACCUCCAGAUGUUCCUCAUCUCUCUCCUCAGUCCUCUCUUCUCCACACUCACAGCUGACUGAACUGACCUGAACUUCAACAAACUGGGAGACUCAGGAGCUCGUCAGCUGUGGGAGGGUCUACGGACCCCAAACUGUAAAUUAAAGACACUGAGGCUAUUUAAUAAUGAGAUAAGUGAGAGUAAGAAGAAGAACCUGAGGUCAUUACAGGAGGAGCUGAACAGGACUGGACGGCAUGUGUUUAUCAGCAUAUGUUAAAAAUAGAACAUGCUGAUCCACUGACCCUAGUGAUGGCGCCCCCGUCCACUCCCUCUAAAUUCUCCUCUUUAUUCUUUUAUAAUCUCCUCAGCUCUCCUCCACAUUUAAUAAACUCUCCAUGUCUUCUUCUCA
This is a long non-coding RNA of Polypterus senegalus (gray bichir), 775 nucleotides long. RefSeq lists it as uncharacterized. Lineage: Eukaryota; Metazoa; Chordata; Cladistia; Polypteriformes; Polypteridae. The record is from RefSeq and is a predicted model, not a curated record. The transcript has 2 exons.